Molecule: ribosomal RNA, 492 nt
Filed under: uncultured bacterium
Lineage: Bacteria
Description: partial 16S ribosomal RNA
Rfam family: Bacterial small subunit ribosomal RNA
Source: RNAcentral
AGUGAACGCUGGCGGUAGGCCUAACACAUGCAAGUCGAACGGCAGCACAGUAAGAGCUUGCUCUUACGGGUGGCGAGUGGCGGACGGGUGAGGAAUACAUCGGAAUCUACUUUUUCGUGGGGGAUAACGUAGGGAAACUUACGCUAAUACCGCAUACGACCUACGGGUGAAAGCAGGGGAUCUUCGGACCUUGCGCGAUUGAAUGAGCCGAUGUCGGAUUAGCUAGUUGGCGGGGUAAAGGCCCACCAAGGCGACGAUCCGUAGCUGGUCUGAGAGGAUGAUCGGCCACCUUGGAAGUGAGACACGGUCAAGACUCCUACGGGAGGCAGCAGUGGGGAAUAUUGGGCAAUGGGCGCAAGCCUGAUCCAGCCAUACCGAGUGGGUGAAGAAGGCCUUCGGGUUGUAAAGCCCUUUUGUGGGGAAAGAAAAGCAGCAGGUUAAUACCCCGCUGUUCUGACGGUACCCAAAGAAUAAGCACCGGCUAACUUCGUG